GAUGAAGAACGCAGCGAAAUGCGAUAAGUAGUGUGAAUUGCAGAAUUCAGUGAAUCAUCGAAUCUUUGAACGCACAUUGCGCCCUAUAGUAUUCUGUAGGGCAUGCAUGUUCGAGCGUCAUUUGUACCUUCAAGCUUUGCUUGGUGUUGGGUGUUUGUCCUCUCCCUGGUGUUUGGACUCGCCUUAAAACAAUUGGCAGCCAGUGUUUUGGUAUUGAAGCGCAGCACAAUUUGCGAUUCUGGCCUUAAAAUACUAGCGUCCAUAAGUACAUUCUCACUUUUGACCUCGGAUCAUGUAGGGAUACCCGCUGAACUUAAGCAUAUCAAUAAGCGGAGGA
This 337-nucleotide unclassified non-coding RNA is filed under the name soil metagenome. RNAcentral's name for it is "partial contains 5.8S ribosomal RNA, internal transcribed spacer 2, and large subunit ribosomal RNA". The stretch from base 1 to 120 matches the Rfam family "5.8S ribosomal RNA", at positions 35 to 154 of the family's 154-position model. The record is from RNAcentral.